CCUACGGGAGGCAGCAGUGAGGAAUAUUGGUCAAUGGGCGCGAGCCUGAACCAGCCAAGUAGCGUGAAGGAUGACUGCCCUACGGGUUUUAAACUCCUUUUUUAAAGGAAUAAAGUGAGGCACGUAUGCCUUUUUGUAUGUACUUUAUGAUUAAGGAUCGGCUAACUCCGUGCCAGCAGCCGCGGUAAUACGGAGGAGCCGAGCGUUAUCCGGAUUUAUUGGGUUUAAAGGGAGCGUAGUUGGGUUGUUAAGUCAGUUGUGAAAGUUUGCGGCUUAACCGUAAAAUUGCAAUUGAUACUGGCAUGCUAGAGUACAGUGGAGGUAGGCGGAAUUCGUGGUGUAGCGGUGAAAUGCGUAGAUAUCACGAAGAACACCGAUUGCGAAGGCAGCCUACUAAACUGCAACUGACGUUGAUGCUCGAAAGUGUGGGUAUCAAACAGGAUUAGAUACCCGGGUAGUC
This 460-nucleotide ribosomal RNA is filed under the name uncultured bacterium. RNAcentral describes it as "partial 16S ribosomal RNA". It matches the Rfam family "Bacterial small subunit ribosomal RNA", at positions 338 to 795 of the family's 1533-position model. The record is from RNAcentral.